This 434-nucleotide ribosomal RNA is filed under the name Comamonas sp. A-6. RNAcentral's name for it is "bacterial SSU rRNA". It matches the Rfam family "Bacterial small subunit ribosomal RNA", at positions 958 to 1392 of the family's 1533-position model. RNAcentral also lists the same sequence under 1 other name. The record is from RNAcentral. Lineage: Bacteria; Pseudomonadati; Pseudomonadota; Betaproteobacteria; Burkholderiales; Comamonadaceae.
AACGCGAAGAACCUUACCCACCUUUGACAUGGCAGGAACUUACCAGAGAUGGUUUGGUGCUCGAAAGAGAACCUGCACACAGGUGCUGCAUGGCUGUCGUCAGCUCGUGUCGUGAGAUGUUGGGUUAAGUCCCGCAACGAGCGCAACCCUUGCCAUUAGUUGCUACAUUCAGUUGAGCACUCUAAUGGGACUGCCGGUGACAAACCGGAGGAAGGUGGGGAUGACGUCAAGUCCUCAUGGCCCUUAUAGGUGGGGCUACACACGUCAUACAAUGGCUGGUACAAAGGGUUGCCAACCCGCGAGGGGGAGCUAAUCCCAUAAAGCCAGUCGUAGUCCGGAUCGCAGUCUGCAACUCGACUGCGUGAAGUCGGAAUCGCUAGUAAUCGUGGAUCAGAAUGUCACGGUGAAUACGUUCCCGGGUCUUGUACACACCG